RNAcentral lists this ribosomal RNA (87 nucleotides) under Tritrichomonas foetus. The record is from RNAcentral. Lineage: Eukaryota; Parabasalia; Tritrichomonadida; Tritrichomonadidae.
UGAAGCGGCCAUACCCGGCUGGAUACAUCCAGCUCCAUUCCGAACCUGGAAAUUAAGCAGUCGCGGGCUACAUCAGUACUGGGCUAG